UACGAAGGGGGCUAGCGUUGCUCGGAAUCACUGGGCGUAAAGGGUGCGUAGGCGGGUCUUUAAGUCAGGGGUGAAAUCCUGGAGCUCAACUCCAGAACUGCCUUUGAUACUGAAGGUCUUGAGUUCGGGAGAGGUGAGUGGAACUGCGAGUGUAGAGGUGAAAUUCGUAGAUAUUCUCAAGAACACCAGUGGCGAAGGCGGCUCACUGGCCCGAUACUGACGCUGAGGCACGAAAGCGUGGGGAGCAAACAGG
Molecule: ribosomal RNA, 253 nt
Filed under: uncultured bacterium
Lineage: Bacteria
Description: partial 16S ribosomal RNA
Rfam family: Bacterial small subunit ribosomal RNA
Source: RNAcentral